Corylus avellana is the source of this 648-nucleotide non-coding RNA. Lineage: Eukaryota; Viridiplantae; Streptophyta; Magnoliopsida; Fagales; Betulaceae. The record is from RefSeq and is a predicted model, not a curated record.
UCCAGUUCAAAAGAACUGGAGAGUAUCCAGUUCGCGGCUGAGAUCUAUUUGAAGAGAUCCAAGGCCAAAAUUAGGCCACGUCAUCGAGAAAAAAAUCACGGUAAAAAUUAAAUUUUAAAUUUUAAACAUCCAGAGAAAAAAGAUUCAUGAAGGUUUAUUUUCAUCUUCCCCCAUUUUUCUCUCUCCCACCGAAACCUUCCUCCCUCCGCCAUCAGCAACCACUGCCGCCACCGACAGCCAACCGGACUCAUCGACACCACCACCGGAAGAUGAGAGCGCCGCCCACCGUAUACAACUGGCACCACCGAAAGAGAUCCGGCUACCUCGACGAACGCCGGCAACACCCAACGCCACCACCGGCUGCAGAGUGUGGUGUUUUAUGUAGAUGCUAAAUUGGAGAUCAAAGGUGAAAGAUUCAAAUUUUGUACUUGUGUCAAGAGCCAAGUUUUGAAGGCGGAAUUGAGCUAGCUUGUUCUGGCUUCUUCUUUUUUUUUUUUUCUUUUUUUUUUGUUUCGCACUUUGGUUAUUAAUGGAUAUGUAACAUUCAUGCUAAUGCUUAUACCAGUUUUGGAUUGGGGAUGCUUGCUUUGUUUAAUAAUGGAUGUGUAAUAUUCUGGGGUUUUUUAUGUAGAUGCUUGCUUUGCUCUC